This 913-nucleotide ribosomal RNA is filed under the name uncultured Chromatiaceae bacterium. Its description in RNAcentral is "SSU rRNA". It matches the Rfam family "Bacterial small subunit ribosomal RNA", at positions 8 to 916 of the family's 1533-position model. Lineage: Bacteria; Pseudomonadati; Pseudomonadota; Gammaproteobacteria; Chromatiales; Chromatiaceae. The record is from RNAcentral.
AGAGUUUGAUCCUGGCUCAGAUUGAACGCUGGCGGCGUGCUUAACACAUGCAAGUCGAUCGGUAACGCGGGGGCAACCCUGGCGACGAGAGGCGGACGGGUGAGGAACGCUUGGGAAUCUGCCCUUCAGCGGGGGACAACCCGGGGAAACUCGGGCUAAUACCGCAUACGCUCCAAGGGGGAAAGCCGGGGACCGCAAGGCCUGGCACUGAAGGAUGAGCCCAAGCCGGAUUAGCUAGUUGGCGGGGUAACGGCCCACCAAGGCGACGAUCCGUAGCUGGUCUGAGAGGACGAUCAGCCACACCGGAACUGAGACACGGUCCGGACUCCUACGGGAGGCAGCAGUGGGGAAUAUUGGACAAUGGGGGAAACCCUGAUCCAGCGACGCCGCGUGGGUGAAGAAGGCCUGCGGGUUGUAAAGCCCUUUCGGUAGGGACGAAAACUCUUGCUCUAACAAAGCAGGAGCUUGACUUAACCUACAUAAGAAGCACCGGCUAACUCUGUGCCAGCAGCCGCGGUAAUACAGAGGGUGCGAGCGUUAAUCGGAAUUACUGGGCGUAAAGCGCACGUAGUCGGCUUUGCAAGCCGGUUGUGAAAUCCCCGGGCUCAACCUGGGAACUGCAUCCGGGACUGCAUUGCUAGAGUAUGGGAGAGGGAAGCGGAAUUUCUGGUGUAGCAGUGAAAUGCGUAGAUAUCAGAAGGAACAUCAGUGGCGAAGGCGGCUUCCUGGACCAAUACUGACGAUCAGGUGCGAAAGCGUGGGGAGCAAACAGGAUUAGAUACCCUGGUAGUCCACGCCCUAAACGAUGACAACUGGAUGUCGGGAGGGUUUGCCUUCCGGUGUCGUAGCUAACGCGUUAAGUUGUCCGCCUGGGAAGUACGGCCGCAAGGUUGAAACUUAAAGGAAUUGACGG